This 228-nucleotide long non-coding RNA is filed under the name Elaeis guineensis (African oil palm). RNAcentral describes it as "long non-coding RNA (EGUI_LNC064025)". Lineage: Eukaryota; Viridiplantae; Streptophyta; Magnoliopsida; Arecales; Arecaceae. The record is from RNAcentral.
GUAGGAGUUUGAAUGAAGUCCACCUGCAAUAGAAGUUUGGGAUAGAGAUCCGGCUUUUGUAGGAAUUCGUCUGGAAUCCAUCCGUUGUAGAAGUUCGGACGGAGUCUGGUCCUUGUAGGAGUUUGGAUGAAAUUCGAAAGACGGUCGACUGUCGUAGAAACUUGGAUGGAGUCUGGUUACUGUAGAAGUUCGGAAGAAGUUCGGAGUAAAGUCAUUCGUGGCCGGAAG